Molecule: ribosomal RNA, 406 nt
Filed under: uncultured bacterium
Lineage: Bacteria
Description: partial 16S ribosomal RNA
Rfam family: Bacterial small subunit ribosomal RNA
Source: RNAcentral
AUUGCACGCUGGCGGCAGGCCUAACACAUGCAAGUCGAACGAGUGGCGGACGGGUGAGUAAUGUCUGGGAAACUGCCUGAUGGAGGGGGAUAACUACUGGAAACGGUAGCUCAUACCGCAUACCAUCAGAUGUGCCCAGAUGGGAUUAGCUAGUAGGUGGGGUAACGGCUCACCUAGGCGACGAUCCCUCGCUGGUCUGAGAGGAUGACCAGCCACACUGGAACUGAGACACGGUCAAGACUCCUACGGGAGGCAACAGUGGGGAAGAUUGCACAAUGGGCGCAAGCCUGAGGCAGCCAUGCCGCGUGGAUGAAGAAGGCCUUCGGGUUGUAAAGUACUUUCAGCGGAGAGGCGUUACCCGCAGAAGAAGCACCGGCUAACUCCGUGCCAGCAGCCGCGGUAAUAC